RNAcentral lists this ribosomal RNA (278 nucleotides) under uncultured Geobacillus sp. RNAcentral describes it as "partial 16S ribosomal RNA". It matches the Rfam family "Bacterial small subunit ribosomal RNA", at positions 1100 to 1382 of the family's 1533-position model. The record is from RNAcentral. Lineage: Bacteria; Bacillati; Bacillota; Bacilli; Caryophanales; Anoxybacillaceae.
AACCCUCGCCUCUAGUUGCCAGCAUUCGGUUGGGCACUCUAGAGGGACUGCCGGCGACAAGUCGGAGGAAGUGGGAUGACGUCAAAUCAUCAUGCCCUUAUGACCUGGGCUACACACGUGCUACAAUGGGCGGUACAAAGGGCUGCGAACCCGCGAGGGGGAGCGAAUCCCAAAAAGCCGCUCUCAGUUCGGAUUGCAGGCUGCAACUCGCCUGCAUGAAGCCGGAAUCGCUAGUAAUCGCGGAUCAGCAUGCUGCGGUGAAUACGUUCCCGGGCCUU